Long non-coding RNA from Penaeus indicus, 974 nucleotides. RefSeq lists it as uncharacterized. The transcript has 3 exons. The record is from RefSeq and is a predicted model, not a curated record. Lineage: Eukaryota; Metazoa; Arthropoda; Malacostraca; Decapoda; Penaeidae.
AAGGAUAUGGGAAGUCAUCAACAGAAGGUCAAAAGGUUGUUAAACAGUGAAGGAGAAGUGCUGUAUCACAUAACUGAUAAAGGAGGAGACCAUUGGAAUGGCGAAGGUGAAGAGCAUGUGGUAUGUCAUGAUGAGAGCUUUGAGAGAGAAAGCCAUCUUCUGUUUUCUGGGGGCGAAGCGAAGGCAAAACUGGUCUUUGGAGAGCAUGAUCAGAUUGACGAGGAAACGCUUUGAAGAAAUUCAAGAAUGGUUGAACUUUUCUGAUGAAUACCUUAAUAAGUGGAAGAAUCUGGGUGCAUUAUUCCUAAAAUGGUUGGAGAAGGAAAUUGAAGAGAAGAGAGUGUCAGAGAGAAAUAUCAGCCUCAGUUUCCAAUACUUUGGGCAAGAUUCAUGAGAGAAGCAGGUGUAACAGAUGCUUUUAUUUCUUCUUAAGUAUUUUAUGAUACUUAGUAUGUCAGUUUGUAUCUUUCCAAGUGACUGUUAUUUAACUUUUACACAUGCCUUAUAUAACUGAACAGUGCUUCAUUGUAGAACAGUAGCAAGAACUGGAGAUCUCACAGUGGAGUGAUAGAGACUACCUAUUUCCUUUAGAUAUAGUGUAAUGAAAAAAUGCUGUUCGUAUGUUGUAUCCUGUGAUCAAAGAUUUUGAUAGCACCUAUAUUUUACUAAGGAAUGCGUGUUUUUUUCACUUCCAUUUUGUUUACAAGCACUUAAUCACCAAGAAGUGAAUUAAUAGGCUUACCAGAUGUAAACUGUGUAUCUUAUUCCUUGUAUUUCUGGUAAAAGGUUCAUGUUCUUAUUACUAUUAUUAUUGUUGUUAUUAUUGUAUGUUGUUGUUGUUCUUCCUCUACUUCUCUUAUUAUUAUUAUUAUUAUUAUUACUACUACUACUACUACUACUACUACUACUACUACUACUACUACUACUACUACUACUACUACUACUAUUACUAUUACUAUUACUAUUACUAUUAC